RNAcentral lists this unclassified non-coding RNA (1219 nucleotides) under Hevea brasiliensis (rubber tree). Lineage: Eukaryota; Viridiplantae; Streptophyta; Magnoliopsida; Malpighiales; Euphorbiaceae. The record is from RNAcentral.
GCAAUAAAUUGCAAAACCAAUCUCGAAUUGGAUACAGUUGGUUGAAUAGGUUGUAGAGAUAUUACACAAGGAAAAUGAACAACUCUGGCAUCCAUGGUGGAAGUUCACAGGCAGCAUCUAUGGUUUCAUGUAUGGUCUAUUACUUAUGAUAACCCAAAAGAGAAACUAAAUGGAAGAAGCAGCAAGCAUGGUGAUUGUUGAGUCUUUUGGCUAAAUAAGCAAGCCCCUACAACUCGACGCAUUUCAUUGGUUGUAAUUGUAUGAAGUCAUCAGCAUCCUCUUCACUGUCACUUUCAAUCCAGCCAUAACAAGGAAACGACCUUGGUGGCCGAAGGCAAACUCGCUUUGAGGAAGGAAGAGUUGUUGGGAUAUAAUCAGCAGGGGUAGGCACACUAUUAACUGAAGUUGGAGGUACGUUACUGCCUCGACCCCCAGAAUUUCCACCAUCACUGGAAAAAACAUUAGCCAGCCUCUUCUGGAUAUAGUAGGUUUGGUCCUCCUCUAUGUCUUUACACCUCUGUUCAACUCCUUCAGCUGGUGGGAGACAUAAUGCUUCGGUACUGCCAAUGUCUUGUUUGUUGCCACAAAGCUCUUCGUGUAUAGGUUCUACUGCAUCAGCAAGCUGAGAGCAUCCUGUUUCUCCUAGAGUAUUGCCAGAUUCAUUAUUUGUGGAAAUAAGAGCGCCUGAAGGACAAGUGGUGCUUAAUAAAGCAGGGUCUUCUGCUCUUUCAUCUAGUGAGGAAAAACCCUUUGAGGAAGGAAGAGCUGUAGGGUGAUGAUCAACAGGACGGGCGACAUGAUUAACCGGGCAUAGUGAAGCAGUUGGAUAGUUAUUCCCUAAUUGCACAUGACUCCCAGAACACAAUUUCAAAUAAUUAACUGGGCAGGGGGAGGAAGUUGGAGGUGAAGCAAAAUCAUGAGAGUUACUCCCUGAUUGCACUUGAUUCUUGGAAUUUCCACCAUCACACCAAACAGCAUUAACCAUCUCCUUCUGGGUAGAGAUUUGGCCUUCCACUACGUCUUUCCAGCUAUUUCCAUCUCCUUCAACUGGUGGGGGGCAAAAUACAGUACUGCAAAUGGCUUGUUUGUUUCUGCAUAGCUCUACAUAUAUUGGUGCUGGUGCAUUGACAAGCUCAGAGCAUGACGUUUCUCCGACAGUAAUACCAGCUUUAUUGUCUGUGGAAUCGACGAGAGUGCCUGAGGGACCAAGGAUGCUUUG